This 264-nucleotide unclassified non-coding RNA is filed under the name Hevea brasiliensis (rubber tree). The record is from RNAcentral. Lineage: Eukaryota; Viridiplantae; Streptophyta; Magnoliopsida; Malpighiales; Euphorbiaceae.
AAAUUUAAGUUUUUUUUUUUUUUGGGUCAUUAACUCUAAAUGAACAAGGAUGCUUCCACACUUUCCUUAUGCACAAAGAAUAGCCUAUUGUCAUUUCUCUUCUCCAACCAUGAACUUUUCACCUUACAGUAAAUAUAGGGCACAAAAAAACCAUAGAACAAAUUAUUUGCUCACAUUGAUGUGAGCAUAACGUGGCUGCAGAGUACAAUCAAAAAAAUUAGGCAAUACCAUGGGAAACUUACAAGAGUUGGCCUCUUUAGCAAA